AGGGUCGUGGCUCAAUGGUAGAACAUCUGCUUUGCAUGCAGAAAAUUCAGUGUUCCAUCCCUGGCAUCUCUA
Molecule: non-coding RNA, 72 nt
Organism: Podarcis lilfordi (Lilford's wall lizard)
Lineage: Eukaryota; Metazoa; Chordata; Lepidosauria; Squamata; Lacertidae
Source: the annotation of a GenBank genome assembly